RNAcentral lists this ribosomal RNA (425 nucleotides) under uncultured bacterium. Its description in RNAcentral is "partial 16S ribosomal RNA". It matches the Rfam family "Bacterial small subunit ribosomal RNA", at positions 354 to 796 of the family's 1533-position model. The record is from RNAcentral.
GUGGGGAAUAUUGGACAAUGGGCGCAAGCCUGAUCCAGCCAUGCCGCGUGAGUGAUGAAGGCCCUAGGGUUGUAAAGCUCUUUCACCGGAGAAGAUAAUGACGGUAUCCGGAGAAGAAGCCCCGGCUAACUUCGUGCCAGCAGCCGCGGUAAUACGAAGGGGGCUAGCGUUGUUCGGAAUUACUGGGCGUAAAGCGCACGUAGGCGGACAUUUAAUUCAGGGGUGAAAUCCCGGAGCUCAACUCCGGAACUGCCUUUGAUACUGGGUGUCUGGAGUAUGGAAGAGGUGAGUGGAAUUCCGAGUGUAGAGGUGAAAUUCGUAGAUAUUCGGAGGAACACCAGUGGCGAAGGCGGCUCACUGGUCCAUUACUGACGCUGAGGUGCGAAAGCGUGGGGAGCAAACAGGAUUAGAUACCCCAGUAGUCC